Molecule: long non-coding RNA, 3562 nt
Organism: Artibeus jamaicensis (Jamaican fruit-eating bat)
Lineage: Eukaryota; Metazoa; Chordata; Mammalia; Chiroptera; Phyllostomidae
Exons: 3
Source: RefSeq, a predicted model, not a curated record
GUACUCCCCGCGGCGGCGGGCGCAUGCGCGUUCCCAGGAGCCUUUGCGCCUUCCGCGCCUCUGGGCAGAUAGGCGGAGGAAAGGGAAGCCGUCGUCAGGGACAGGCUUUCCACGUCCCCAUUGACGCUGCUGAGGAAGCAGUCUCAGCACCUCUCCAGGGUAGUGUCUGCGUACCACUACUCUAACGAGGCGCCUGGAGUGCAGAAGGAUUCUUAUUCUCGCCCUCUGGGCCUUCCCCUUUAACCUGGAGUCACGCGAGAGGCUACUCAACGCACACCAUAGGUCCGCUGAACUGCGGGGUGGGACCUGAAUCCGGGUCACCAGAAAAACCAGCCUCUGCUCUCUAGAGGAUUUAACUUGAACCUGGACCGGUUCCGACUCCUUUUCCGAGCCCUCCUGACGUCACGGGACGUUCUGGGCCUUUCCUGGACUAGAACGGGACUUCGGGUCCCAGCGUGCUUUGCGCGCUGCCACUCAUUGGAUUCGAGACAUCUUGGGAUUUGUAGUCUUUGAGUGUUAGCUCCUUGAGUAGCACAACCUGGCUGCCUUGCUCCUUGCCGUGUUCCCAGCGCCAGAACAGUGUACACAUCACCACCGAGACCGUAACUGGGGAUGGAUCUGGCACGACCCUCUGGCUGCAGACUGGCCCUUGGGUAUUAGGAGAGUGAAGGACUGCACGCCCUCCUGCUGCAUCAGCAUUAGGGGUCUUACUAUGGAGAGCUCCCGUUCUGUGUGUGUUCAUUUCCUAUGGAUGCCAUAACGAAUUACUACAAACUGGGUAGCUCACAACAACAGAAAUGUCUUAUUUCACAGUUCUGGAAUCUGGGAGUCCAGAACGAAGGUUUCCACGGGCCAUGCUCCCCAUGAAGGCUCUCACAAAGGAUUCUGCUUUGCCUUUUUCUGCUUCAGGUGGCUCUCCAUGUUCCCUGGCUCAUGGCUGCAUAACUCCAUUCUCUACCUCUGUCUUCACAGGGUCUUCCUUCCUCUGUAUAUAUCUUGGGGUGCCCUCUCCUCUUCUUAUGAGGAGGGCACCAGUCAUUAGACUUGGGGCCCACCCUGAUCCAGUAGGACCUCAUCUUAAUUUAUUACAUCUGGAAACACAUUAUUUCCAAAUAGUCUCUCUCUGAGAUUCUGAGCGGGCAUGAAUUCUGGGUGGACACCAGCCAACCCACCACACUGUGAGCAAUUGCUGUCUGUGUGUUGCUGUUCACACUCUCAUUCUGAUUGGUUAGAGGCUAUCUCGCAAGCCCUAAUGUGUUGCCCCUUGAUCCAAUUGCUGCACACCUUGGCUCUUGCUGCCUCACCCACUGGACUGUGGAUUUUACGGGAGUGUAAAUGAGAGACAACCCUAGUACUUUGACACUGCUAAGACGUGAGCUGGCCCUCACUGGGGUGCAGGCAGCCCUCAGUAGCUGGAAUCAAUAAGAUGCUGUCACCAGAACUGGGGCCUCACUCAGAAACACGUGCGCUCUACAAUCUACCCUGACCGACUGAGUUACACUUAGGCUUUAUAACCACAAAGCUGAGUCAGUAUUAUCUGAAUCAUAGCAAAGAAGGCAUAUCCUUAAGUAUCUGAUGAUGUUGCAACAUGUCCCAUCACUGAGGUCAUACCUCAGUGUCAUGUGUCAUGGUCACAAACGCCCAUGGCACAGCGUCUUACCAAGCCAGGAGGAGACGGAGCUGCAGCCAUUGCUAUUAUUGCUGUAAUUAUUGCAGGUUUCUCUUUAGCUUACCAUGGCUACGUGCAAGUUUAUCCUUCUGCCUGGAACACUGACGGCCCUCUCUUCACCUGGUUAGGUCGUUCUCAGACCUCAGGUUUCAGCUCCAACGAUUCUUUUUCCGAGAGGCUGACUGAUCCCCUACUUCAUCUCUGUGCCUCAACUUCUUCAUCUGUGAAAUGGGAAUAACAGUAGGAUCCACUUUAUGGCACCACUGAAGGGUAAAUGAGCUGAUACAUGAAAACAGUCCCUAGCAAGUUGAAAGCACCCAAUACAUUAUUUGUGAUUAAUGCAAUCCUUAAUGAUAAUUUUAACAGUAAUUAUCAUGUGUUCAUUUUAUUAAUGCUUGUUAAUUUUAUUAUUCUCUGACUUCUCGGCUGUAGAGAAGGCUGGGUUAUGCCCUCUCCAUCCCCACAGCCUCGGCUCUCAUAACACUGAAUUGUACUUUUGCUUUGCUUGUCUGCUAGUCUCUGGGCUGUUUGAGAGCGGAGGGGUGACAUUACCUUUAUACUCCAGCUCCUGAGGCGGGGCCGGGCACUUUAGGACUCAAGGUCAAAGUGGGAUGACACCGUGAGAAGAGAAUGGGGUCUGCAGCCCCAUGGAAACAAGCGGUCCUCCUUCGAACAGGCCCCCCAGUCCCUCUGGACUUUGGCCUUCCCUCUGAGGAAGAAGAGGAUCGGACCUGCCUCAGGGCUGGCCCCCUGAGUGAAGGAGUUAUGCUGCCACAGUGAGCACUUUAAGUGAAAACAUUCAAAGCAUCAGGCUCGGAACUGGUGUCCGUGAAUACUAUUCAGUAGUAGCUUCCCGAACUGUAAGUUGCCUGAAAGAACGUGACGGAUGAGAUGUGAUGUCCUCGAUCCAGGAGCAUCAGCCCAAAUCCAAGACUCAAAGAAGGCCUAAGCAUUCAUCUGGAACUAAUGUGGGUAUGCUGUGAUUUAAAAAGAACAAGAAAACAAGGUCUGAGGGAGAAAAGCCCUGAGAGAUAAUCCACCUCCUGACCCCUUGUACAGAAUAUUAAGGGCAUGUUGGUGGGGUGGGGUGAUGGUCCAUCUCUACGGAUACCUGAACAUGCAGCCUUGGGACAGAGCCUCAGUCCUGAGAUGCUGACGGUUCUCGGCCUCUUGGUGAGCUGCCACCAUCCGGGCAUGUAAGCUGAGGGGCAUCCUGCAGGGGCUGUAUCUAGGAUGCUCGGCAGAGCUCCUCAUCCUCCUAUUACUGGCUUUGACUGCCCCCUAGUGGACAUUUCCCCCUCCAGAACCUUGGGUACUAGCUGAAUUCUCCAGGGGCAGGGUUAGGGCACUGCCCAAGUCCCUUCCUUGUCUUCUCCUCUUCUCUUCUAUGCUCACUCGCAUGGCAGUAUCACCCCAUCUUGUGGCUUUACAUGCCACCCAUGUACUGACUACUUCCAGUACAUGGAAAUCACAUCUCCAGCCCACACUUCCCCCCCUGAACUCAAGACCUGGAGAUCCAACCACCGCUUGUCUUCUCCACUGGAACGUCUGUCUAAUAGGCAUCUUGAUCUGAAUGUGUCCCAAACUGAGCUCUUUAUUACCUAUCCCCCAACCCUGCUGCUAUCCCAAGGGUCUCCCCAUCCCAGUUAUGGCAAUAACAUCCUUCCAGAUGCUCGGGUGAAAAACAGGGUGCCAUCCUUGACUCACCUCUUUCUUUCACACCCCGAGUCUAAUCUGCUGGCAAAUAAAUCCUAUUGGCUGUACCUUCAAAAUAUGUCCAGAAUCUGACCACCUCUUGCUAUCCUGGUCCAGGCCACCAUCAUUUCUAGACUUGUUGAUAGUCUUCUAUCUGGUCCUGAGGCAUCUGGCCUUGUCCAGUGGUUCUCACUUCAG